GACGAACGCUGGCGGCGUGCCUAACACAUGCAAGUCGAGCGGAAAUAAUUGAAAGCUUGCUUUUGGUUAUUUCAGCGGCGGACGGGUGAGUAACGCGUGGGCAACCUGCCUGUUACAGGGGGAUAACACAGGGAAACUUGUGCUAAUACCGCAUAACACAGCGAGGUAGCAUUACCUUGUUGUCAAAGGAGAAAUCCGGUGACAGAUGGGCCCGCGUCCAAUUAGCUAGUUGGUGAUGUAACGGACCACCAAGGCGACGAUUGGUAGCCGAACUGAGAGGUUGAUCGGCCACAUUGGGACUGAGACACGGCCCAGACUCCUACGGGAGGCAGCAGUGGGGAAUAUUGCACAAUGGGGGAAACCCUGAUGCAGCAACGCCGCGUGAAGGAUGAAGGUUUUCGGAUUGUAAACUUCUUUAGUCAGGGACGAAAAAAAUGACGGUACCUGAAGAAUAAGCCACGGCUAACUACGUGCCAGCAGCCGCCGUAA
Molecule: ribosomal RNA, 489 nt
Filed under: uncultured bacterium
Lineage: Bacteria
Description: partial 16S ribosomal RNA
Rfam family: Bacterial small subunit ribosomal RNA
Source: RNAcentral